This 66-nucleotide transfer RNA is filed under the name Ceratosolen solmsi. Its description in RNAcentral is "tRNA-Ser". Lineage: Eukaryota; Metazoa; Arthropoda; Insecta; Hymenoptera; Agaonidae. The record is from RNAcentral.
AAUUAUUAAGCUAUAUAGCAUGUAACUUGAAAUUACAUAAAUAGAAGUAAAAUCUUCUAAUAAUUU